GGAAGAAGAAAAAAAAAUUGAAAAUCUCGCCGGUUUAUGGAAGAAAGUCAGAGGGAGAGAGGAUUACGUCGCCGUUGGUGAUCAUAUACCGGCUAUCGGAGCUAAGCCUUCGCGCAAAAUGGUCCCUAUCUUGCAGGAGCUGGACCAAUGGCUUUCCCUCGUCGUGAUGCAAUCCAUUUAUUUACUCUGCAUGAUGUGCAUGUUGAAUGAAGACUGGAGGGUUUUUAUUAAGGUUGAUCAAAUCUCUGUCUGGCAUCACUGUAAAUGCAUGUUUGAUUGAAUAAAUAUAUUUGCUUACUACUACUUGAUAUUUGAUAAUCAUUUUUGCUUGUUUACUACUUGUACUGUGACGACUGCAUUGAGUUUAUCUUUGUUUUUUUUUACUAAAUGACUUUAUUUCUUCAAUUCUAAUUUGCCACUUGACCUGUGUCUGAA
This is a long non-coding RNA of Ipomoea triloba (trilobed morning glory), 435 nucleotides long. RefSeq lists it as uncharacterized. NCBI's taxonomy places the organism in Eukaryota, Viridiplantae, Streptophyta, Magnoliopsida, Solanales, Convolvulaceae. The transcript has 3 exons. The record is from RefSeq and is a predicted model, not a curated record.